RNAcentral lists this ribosomal RNA (475 nucleotides) under uncultured bacterium. Its description in RNAcentral is "bacterial SSU rRNA". It matches the Rfam family "Bacterial small subunit ribosomal RNA", at positions 328 to 793 of the family's 1533-position model. The record is from RNAcentral.
CGCUAUCACUCCUACGGGGAGGCAGCAGUAGGGAAUCUUCCACAAUGGGCGCAAGCCUGAUGGAGCAACACCGCGUGAGUGAAGAAGGGUUUCGGCUCGUAAAGCUCUGUUGUUAAAGAAGAACACGUAUGAGAGUAACUGUUCAUACGUUGACGGUAUUUAACCAGAAAGUCACGGCUAACUACGUGCCAGCAGCCGCGGUAAUACGUAGGUGGCAAGCGUUAUCCGGAUUUAUUGGGCGUAAAGAGAGUGCAGGCGGUUUUCUAAGUCUGAUGUGAAAGCCUUCGGCUUAACCGGAGAAGUGCAUCGGAAACUGGAUAACUUGAGUGCAGAAGAGGGUAGUGGAACUCCAUGUGUAGCGGUGGAAUGCGUAGAUAUAUGGAAGAACACCAGUGGCGAAGGCGGCUACCUGGUCUGCAACUGACGCUGAGACUCGAAAGCAUGGGUAGCGAACAGGAUUAGAUACCCCUGGUAG